GGGAAAAACGAUCUCAUCCAUCUCUAACUCCUCAUUUUCUUGAAAACUCUCUUUCCGGCGCCACUUUCUCCGGGAAACUCGCAUACAUUAGUAGCUCUUUACACCACUGUGGAGGAGUAGCUGAUCCGGGUCAGUUGAAUAACGACGAGGAGAAAGUUCAGUAAUACCUAGGUUUGGUCAAGCUAACUCAAGGUUAGGUGGAUGGAGGACUUUUGUUGACACUUCUUUUGUUGACACUUCUCUUGUUUCCUCAUCAGCAUUGCAAUUGUUUUUGGUUUUGGGUUACUCUUGAUUUUGCUUUUGUGCAUGACUUAGACUUUUGUAUAUCGAAUGUAGUAUGAUAGGUUGAAGCCUGUUAUAUAUGACUUCUUCUAUGGUUGUAAAUGAU
This is a non-coding RNA of Salvia hispanica, 388 nucleotides long. Lineage: Eukaryota; Viridiplantae; Streptophyta; Magnoliopsida; Lamiales; Lamiaceae. The record is from RefSeq and is a predicted model, not a curated record.